UACGGAGGGUGCGAGCGUUUAAUCGGAUUUACUGGGCGUAAAGGGCGCGUAGGCGGCGUGACAAGUCACUUGUGAAAUCUCCGGGCUUAACUCGGAACGGUCAAGUGAUACUGUCGUGCUAGAGUACAGAAGGGGCAACUGGAAUUCUCGGUGUAGCGGUGAAAUGCGCAGAUAUCAGGAGGAACACCGGUGGCGAAGGCGGGUCUCUGGGCCGAUACUGACGCUGAGGAGCGAAAGCGUGGGGAGCAAACAGG
This 254-nucleotide ribosomal RNA is filed under the name uncultured bacterium. RNAcentral describes it as "partial 16S ribosomal RNA". It matches the Rfam family "Bacterial small subunit ribosomal RNA", at positions 524 to 776 of the family's 1533-position model. The record is from RNAcentral.